Molecule: small nucleolar RNA, 107 nt
Organism: Zingiber officinale
Lineage: Eukaryota; Viridiplantae; Streptophyta; Magnoliopsida; Zingiberales; Zingiberaceae
Source: RefSeq, a predicted model, not a curated record
UAACCACGAUAAGGACAUUGUCUUAAUAAACCUUUGAAUAUAUCUCAUACUUUAAAUAGUGAUUCCCCAUCUGCCUGAGCAAAAUUUGUAAUGUAAUUUCUCAUAUA